This 195-nucleotide unclassified non-coding RNA is filed under the name uncultured fungus. Its description in RNAcentral is "sequence contains ITS1". The record is from RNAcentral. Lineage: Eukaryota; Fungi.
UUAACUAUUUAUAUAGUACUCAGACGACAUAUUGAUGGAGUUUGGUGGUCCUCUGGCGGGCGCUGACCAGCCUGAGCCGGUGGCCAUAAGGCGGGCCCGCCAAAGCAACAAAAGGUAAUGUAAACAUUGGGUGGGAGAUAUACCCAGAGGGCAUUGUUCUCUGUAAUGAUCCUUCCGCAGGUUCACCUACGGAAA